Molecule: long non-coding RNA, 1105 nt
Organism: Oncorhynchus tshawytscha (Chinook salmon)
Lineage: Eukaryota; Metazoa; Chordata; Actinopteri; Salmoniformes; Salmonidae
Source: Ensembl
AAACAGGUGAGACAUCUGACUACAUACUUCUACAGAGCUGCAUAUAUAUAUUUGUCACUCAGUGACAAUCUGCCUGAUGCUCCUCAACAAUAAAUGUCAGCAUGUGUGUUGAGUAGAAUGCCUUCAACCUCAGGACAGCCUCUGCACAGGACUGUGUAUCAUAGGGAACAGGGAUGACAACUUGCUGGGAUGCAGUCCAGAUGAACACCUUACUUUCUCUCAGUCCUGUGCGAAACAGACCAAUUUGUACCUGCAUGUUGUAGCCACGUGGCCCAUGUGGUUGCAGUCGAGGUGUAGUCCUCCAUCACCUUCACAUCACUUUCCUAUUGAAGACAUCAUCCAGAAAAUCACAGCCUCUACCCCAUGACAGGACACUUGAUCUUCAACAACUCCUUGGAUUUCAGUAUUCCACCAGGGCUUGCUGAUAACCAUGGCUCUUCAACACUGACAUCAGUGCCUCUGUGGUCCACAGAGUAUCCACAUUCUUCCAGCCACUGGGAGCUCAUUAUCUUCAAAUACAUUGAAAAUGGUACAGCCAUAAAUAAAUAUUCCUUUCCGUCCAAUUUUACCUGGGAUGCUACUGGCUGUGAUGUUAUUGUCGGUUCAGCAUUAACACACUCAUAGAGCAGAUUCCCCACAGGCAGAUGCAGGUGUCUCAGGCUCCUAUUAAAUUCCUCCUGUGAGUGGAAUGCAGGAGUGGGAACCAGGGGUGGGAGGCAGGGGUGGGAGGCAGGAGUGGGAACCAGAGGUGGACAUUCCGGACGCUUUUCUGCAUAUUGGUCACUGGCCUUAUGGUGUGGGAAGUCAAUGCUGUUUAACCACUUUGGCUCAAGGUUCCUCCGAGUCCCUGAACUCCAUUGUCACUGCUCAUCUGAGCAGGCUAUGCCAGUUAGCCCCUUGGACACGGCAUUCUGCACCUGCGAUAGAAUGUUUGUUAGAACAACAACAAAAAUGCGUUCAGAGAAAAGCCCAUUAUUAACAAUUUGGUGACGGAGGACUAUGUGAUCAACUUCAUCAAAACACACAUGCAAGUUUCAUCAUAAACUUACAUUGCUAUUGUUCCCAAUGAGAUGAGACCACUUAGUAUACUUACCAUACUUUAGGC